AACCCAUAGUGAGGGCAUCUUCUCAAGAGGUCAAUGUAUCACUCCCAUGCAUCGUAAAGUGUUUCUAAAUCCAUCUGCACAAAAGAUGAGAUAUCAUUACGAAAUUU
Molecule: small nucleolar RNA, 107 nt
Filed under: Gossypium arboreum
Lineage: Eukaryota; Viridiplantae; Streptophyta; Magnoliopsida; Malvales; Malvaceae
Description: Plant small nucleolar RNA R71
Rfam family: Plant small nucleolar RNA R71
About the family: R71 is a member of the C/D box family of snoRNAs containing the C (UGAUGA) and D (CUGA) box motifs.
Source: Rfam by way of RNAcentral